RNAcentral lists this ribosomal RNA (262 nucleotides) under uncultured archaeon. RNAcentral's name for it is "partial 16S ribosomal RNA". It matches the Rfam family "Archaeal small subunit ribosomal RNA", at positions 748 to 1009 of the family's 1478-position model. The record is from RNAcentral.
CAGCCCUAAACGAUGCGCGUUAGGUGUAUCGGUGACCACGAGUCACCGAGGUGCCGAAGGGAAACCGUGAAACGUGCCGCCUGGGAAGUACGGUCGCAAGGCUGAAACUUAAAGGAAUUGGGCGGGGGAGCACCACAACGGGUGGAGCCUGCGGUUUAAUUGGACUCAACGCCGGGAAGCUCACCGGAUAAGACAGCGGAAUGAUUGCCGGGCUGAAGACCCUGCAUGACCAGCUGAGAGGAGGUGCAUGGCGUAGUCGUGU